This 858-nucleotide ribosomal RNA is filed under the name uncultured Bacillota bacterium. RNAcentral's name for it is "bacterial SSU rRNA". It matches the Rfam family "Bacterial small subunit ribosomal RNA", at positions 58 to 947 of the family's 1533-position model. The record is from RNAcentral. Lineage: Bacteria; Bacillati; Bacillota.
CAAGUCGCACGAGAAAGCGGGAGCAAUCUCGCAAGUAAAGUGGCGUACGGGUGAGUAACACGUGGAUUAUCUACCCUUGAGUGGGGAAUAACGCUGGGAAACCGGCGCUAAUACCGCAUAUUCCUGAGAAGGGAAAGCAGCAAUGCGCUCGAGGAGGAGUCCGCGGCCGAUUAGCUAGUUGGCAGGGUAAAAGCCUACCAAGGCUAUGAUCGGUAGCCGGCCUGAGAGGGCACACGGCCACACUGGCACUGAAACACGGGCCAGACUCCUACGGGAGGCAGCAGUGGGGAAUCUUGCACAAUGGGGGAAACCCUGAUGCAGCGACGCCGCGUGAGCGAUGAAGCCCUUCGGGGUGUAAAGCUCUUUCGGCAGGGAAGAUUAUGACGGUACCUGCAGAAGCAGCUGCGGCUAACUACGUGCCAGCAGCCGCGGUAAUACGUAGGCAGCAAGCGUUGUUCGGAGUUACUGGGCGUAAAGGGUGUGUAGGCGGCCUGUUAAGUUCCGUGUGAAAUCUCCCGGCUCAACCGGGAGGGUGCGCGGAAAACUGGCGGGCUAGAGUACGGGAUGGGAGAGUAGAAUUCCUGGUGUAGCGGUGAAAUGCGUAGAUAUCAGGAGGAAUACCGGUGGUGUAGACGGCUCUCUGGACCGUAACUGACGCUGAGACACGAAAGCGUGGGUAGCAAACAGGAUUAGAUACCCUGGUAGUCCACGCCCUAAACGAUGCAUAUUUGGUGUAGGUCAUUCAGUUGAUCUGUGCCGGAGCUAACGCGUUAAAUAUGCCGCCUGGGGAGUACAGUCGCAAGGCUGAAACUCAAAGGAAUUGACGGGGGCCCGCACAAGCGGUGGAGCAUGUGGUUC